Long non-coding RNA from Gadus chalcogrammus (walleye pollock), 1218 nucleotides. RefSeq lists it as uncharacterized. The record is from RefSeq and is a predicted model, not a curated record. The transcript has 3 exons. Lineage: Eukaryota; Metazoa; Chordata; Actinopteri; Gadiformes; Gadidae.
AUUCUGGUAAUAAUUUCACUGUCUAAUCAUCUUCUUCCAGUUACUGAUGGCGUCAUCGCCCUACUGGAACCAGAUGCCCUCACCAACCUCCAUGCAAUUGAAGAUGAUGGAGAAACAUUGUCUGCGGCAUUUGAAAGGGAAGAGGAAAGGCCUAUUGAGGAUGAAAUCGAAUCCAAUGAGAGGCCAUCCACUUCUAAAUCACAGCUGGAAUCUUGCCUUCAGGAUCCCGAACGUGUUUUCGACCCUGGCUCUCAUCCUCAUAUGCGCCAGGUUGUAGCGCUGCUGUGGUCCUGGCACGGGAUCGGCAUACGGGGUCAGAAGGCAAGGCUGGCAGGGGUACCCUCUGUCACCUAAAACAUGACCGUCGUACUCUCCUACGAUACAGGUGAAAUAUUAAUCAUCUGAACAAAUAUGGAUUAUAAAUCCUUCAAAUAUAGGCUUAACUCACCACGGGCAAAGCGAGUGCUCAGAUUAGACUCCCGAAAUAUGCGUGCGUCAUGCACAGACCCCGGCCACUUUGUCUCCACUUGGGUGAUGAUAUUUCUGGCAUCACAUACGACCUUCAAAUUGCAGAGAGUAUAAUUAGAUACAGAGGCUGUUUUGUUAAGUAUCUUUAAUUUAAAAUGCUGAAGGUCUAGGCCUUCACCUGUACCUGCACAUUGAUGCUGUGGAAGGACUUCCUAUUAACAUAGUCUCCUUCAUUCAGUGAAGGAGCUUUAAUAGGAAUAUGAGUUCCAUCGAUGCACCCGAUGACACCCGGAAAAUCUAAAACAUUACAAAUUAAUUUAUUAAAUUAAAUUGUGCACUUUAUUUAUUAAAUUAAAACGUUCCAAUAAACAAAUAGGCUACCUUGUUGCUACUGUUACCUGCAAUUCUGUGGAACUCUUCCUUGAUUGUUCGUAUAGGUCGGUGACUUGGAAACAUCACAAACGUGUAAAGAAAACGUUUCAGUGCCAAAGUCACAUUUCUGACAGACCGAUACACGGUUGCCUUUGAAAUGUGCUCGGCGUCACCGACGUUGUAAAGAAAGCUGCCGUUUGCUAAAAUGUGCCACACAAAUAAUUUGUAUUGAACUUAAAGCAUGCCCCCGGUGCGUUUGACAUUUAACAUGGGGGCGGAGAAGGUGGUCUAAAUAAAUGAUAGAUUGCGCUGAAAAACGAUAGCGCUCGUGAAGAAAAUUAUCAGGAAAAGAAAGUAUAUCCAACCGGGGUCUUAAUA